AGUCCCGGUGACGGGAAGGAAAGUGCAACAGAAAGGAAACCGCCUUCAUGUGGCUGUUUGGCUGCAUGGAGGUAAGGGUGAAAGGGUGAGGUAAGAGCUCACCGGUUCGGCGGCGACGUCGGAGGCUAUGCAAACCCCAUCCGGAGCAAGACCAAAUAGGGGAACAAUGGAGGGUGGUCCGCCCGAGUUCCCGGGUAGGUCGCUUGAUCUCGCGGGUAACUGCGAGACUAGAUGAAUGAUCAUUGUCCCGAUGGCGAGUGAUCGCUUCGGGAAACAGAACCCGGCUUAUGGCCUGCUUCGACAU
Molecule: RNase P RNA, 304 nt
Filed under: Deltaproteobacteria bacterium
Lineage: Bacteria; Pseudomonadati; Myxococcota; Myxococcia
Description: partial RNase P RNA component class A
Rfam family: Bacterial RNase P class A
About the family: Ribonuclease P (RNase P) is a ubiquitous endoribonuclease, found in archaea, bacteria and eukarya as well as chloroplasts and mitochondria. Its best characterised activity is the generation of mature 5'-ends of tRNAs by cleaving the 5'-leader elements of precursor-tRNAs. Cellular RNase Ps are ribonucleoproteins.
Source: RNAcentral